This 76-nucleotide transfer RNA is filed under the name Verrucomicrobiota bacterium. RNAcentral's name for it is "tRNA-Phe". It matches the Rfam family "tRNA". From Rfam's summary of the family: Transfer RNA (tRNA) molecules are approximately 80 nucleotides in length. Their secondary structure includes four short double-helical elements and three loops (D, anti-codon, and T loops). The record is from RNAcentral. Lineage: Bacteria; Pseudomonadati; Verrucomicrobiota.
GGCUGGAUAGCUCAGUUGGUAGAGCAACGGACUGAAAAUCCGUGUGUCCGCGGUUCGAACCCGCGUCCAGCCACCA